UACGUAGGGUGCAAGCGUUGUCCGGAAUUAUUGGGCGUAAAGAGCUCGUAGGCGGCUUGUCGCGUCGGAUGUGAAAGCCCGGGGCUUAACUCCGGGUCUGCAUUCGAUACGGGCAGGCUAGAGUGUGGUAGGGGAGAUCGGAAUUCCUGGUGUAGCGGUGAAAUGCGCAGAUAUCGGGAAGAACACCCGUGGCGAAGGCGGCUCUCUGGGACGGUACUGACGCUGAGACGCGCAAAGCGUGGG
Molecule: ribosomal RNA, 243 nt
Filed under: uncultured bacterium
Lineage: Bacteria
Description: partial 16S ribosomal RNA
Rfam family: Bacterial small subunit ribosomal RNA
Source: RNAcentral